GACAGAGGGUGCAAACGUUGCUCGGAAUUACUGGGCGUAAAGCGCGUGUAGGUGGCCACGCAAGUCAGGUGUGAAAGCCCAGGGCUCAACCCUGGAAGUGCACAUGAUACUACGUGGCUGGAGUACUGAAGAGGAGAGCGGAAUUCCCGGUGUAGAGGUGAAAUUCGUAGAUAUCGGGAGGAACACCAGUGGCGAAGGCGGCUCUCUGGGCAGAUACUGACACUGAGACGCGAAAGCGUGGGUAGCAAACAGGAUUAGAUACCCUGGUAGUCCACGCUGUAAACGAUGAGAACUGGGUGUCGUGGGUAUUGACCCCCGCGGUGCCGAAGCCAACGCGUUAAGUUCUCCGCCUGGGAAGUACGGCCGCAAGGCUAAA
RNAcentral lists this ribosomal RNA (376 nucleotides) under uncultured bacterium. RNAcentral's name for it is "bacterial SSU rRNA". It matches the Rfam family "Bacterial small subunit ribosomal RNA", at positions 524 to 898 of the family's 1533-position model. The record is from RNAcentral.